Long non-coding RNA from Cryptomeria japonica (Japanese cedar), 1490 nucleotides. RefSeq lists it as uncharacterized. The transcript has 6 exons. The record is from RefSeq and is a predicted model, not a curated record. NCBI's taxonomy places the organism in Eukaryota, Viridiplantae, Streptophyta, Pinopsida, Cupressales, Cupressaceae.
CACCGCUCUGUGCUAAUUAUUGACUAAUAUUUGUCUAAUGGGUGAUGCAGGAGAAGCACCUCCAAAGGCUACAAGUAACGAGCUGUCCAGAAAAUCCGAUUGGCCUUCCACGACUGUUUUGUUGAGAGAUGUGAUGCAUCUGUCCGGUCAAGGUUUGUUUAUAACCUGAGAAAUAUCAAUCCCGAAUAUCAAAUCUCUUAGGGGAUACAACGUAAUUGAUGAGAUGAAGCAAAGAUUGGAAGCAGUCUGUCCUGAAACAUCAUUGUUCUUAGUGCAAGACAUUCCGUGGUUAUGGGCAAUCUGUAGGUAUAGCAACCUGGCAGAGAGCAAUCUGCGUUGGCCAAAUGAUGAAAUUCACACCAAGAUCUGCACAGUUAGGACGAAAGGGUUUUCAGCAAAGGAAAUGGUCAGCCCAGUUCCGCUUUUUCCAGGAAAGACUUCAAAGUGGGAGAGCCAAGCCCAGCAUCGAGAGGCAUCUGAACUCAAGGAGAAUGAAUUUGUUCGUUGGUGUGCGUGUGCGUGUUCUGUGCAGAAGGUGUUUAUCAAGGCUAUCUAGGAAAUCCGUUGGCCUUCCACGACUGUUUUGUUGAGAGGGAUGCGAUGCAUCUGUCCGGUCGAGGGAGACUUUUCACCUGAGAAAAAUUGAUCCCAAAUAUCAAAUCUGUUAGAUGAGAUGAAGCAAAUAUUGGAAGCAGAAAGAUCAUUGUGCAUAUUGCAAGACAUUCGAUGCUUAUGGGCACUCUGCAGGUACACCAUGACCCGGUAGAGUGCAAUCUGCCUUGGUCGAACGAUGAAAUUCACACCAAGAUCCGCACAUCCGGGACGAAAGGGGUUUCGGCAAAGGAAAUGCCGCUUUUUCCAGGAAAGACUCUCAAACAUUAACUGAUCUGAAUUAUGGAUUUAGAUGACAACACCUGAGUGAGAACUUCCGGUGAUCUGAAUUAUGGAUUAAGAUGACAACACCUGAGUGAGAACCUGCGGUAUUGUAAAUUUUGUUUACAAGAACACGAAAGCAUAGAAUUGAAGCAAGCCAAAAAGUAUUGUAUUCAAUUCGAAAAUCCAACAUAUAGGGGAAAUGACCGAGUAGUUGAGCAUGUACCAAUUGUUGUGAGGGUUGUUGAUACUUUUUGUUCCAAAAAUUGAACAAAUAAAACCUAUUGUUUGAAACAAAAAAUAUCAAUUUUUGUUAGGAAAUGUACCAACAGUUGUUAGGAAAUGUACCAAUACUUGUUAAGAAAUGUACUAAUAUUGUAAAAAGUAACCGUUCAGGUGAGGCCAUAUCAGCUGCACAACUAUUGGGGUCUCUUUUGCACGCCGAUUGGUCUCACUUUUUUUUAUUUUGGACACCUUGGCAAAAAGCAUGCUGAUGUGGCAUCAUAUUUGAUGAUGUGGCCCUGAAACCUUAGUUAUAAGUAGGGGACUUGCCAAGUAAGCUGCUGUAAAAAAAUCAGAGUGAUUUGAAAUUUCCAAGUAGGAUUUUUAGAAGCGCA